This 460-nucleotide ribosomal RNA is filed under the name uncultured bacterium. RNAcentral's name for it is "partial 16S ribosomal RNA". It matches the Rfam family "Bacterial small subunit ribosomal RNA", at positions 29 to 523 of the family's 1533-position model. The record is from RNAcentral.
AACGAACGCUGGCGGCAGGCCUAACACAUGCAAGUCGAGCGGGCGUAGCAAUACGUCAGCGGCAGACGGGUGAGUAACACGUGGGAACGUGCCCUUCAGUUCGGAACAACCCAGGGAAACUUGGGCUGAUACCGGAUACGCCCCGGACUUGAUCCGGGGGAAAGAUUUAUCGCUGAAGGAUCGUCCCGCGUCUGAUUAGCUGGUUGGUGAGGUAAUGGCUCACCAAGGCGACGAUCAGUAGCUGGUCUGAGAGGAUGAUCAGCCACACUGGGACUGAGACACGGCCCAGACGCCUACGGGAGGCAGCAGUGGGGAAUAUUGGACAAUGGGCGCAAGCCUGAUCCAGCCAUGCCGCGUGAGUGAUGAAGGCCCUAGGGUUGUAAAGCUCUUUCGGCGGGGAAGAUAAUGACGGUACCCGCAGAAGAAGCCCCGGCUAACUUCGUGCCAGCAGCCGCGGUAA